Molecule: ribosomal RNA, 506 nt
Filed under: uncultured bacterium
Lineage: Bacteria
Description: partial 16S ribosomal RNA
Rfam family: Bacterial small subunit ribosomal RNA
Source: RNAcentral
AUUGAACGCUGGCGGCAUGCCUAACACAUGCAAGUCGAACGGCAGCACAGGAGAGCUUGCUCUCUGGGUGGCGAGUGGCGGACGGGUGAGGAAUACAUCGGAAUCUACUUUUUCGUGGGGGAUAACGUAGGGAAACUUACGCUAAUACCGCAUACGACCUACGGGUGAAAGCAGGGGACCUUCGGGCCUUGCGCGAUUGAAUGAGCCGAGGUCGGAUUAGCUAGUUGGCGGGGUAAAGGCCCACCAAGGCGACGAUCCGUAGCUGGUCUGAGAGGAUGAGCAGCCACACUGGAAAUGAGACACGGUCCAGACUCCUACGGGAGGCAGCAGUGGGGAAUAUUGGACAAUGGGCGCAAGCCUGAUCCAGCCAUACCGCGUGGGUGAAGAAGGCCUUCGGGUUGUAAAGCCCUUUUGUUGGGAAAGAAAUCCAGCUGGCUAAUACCUGGUUGGGAUGACGGUACCCAAAGAAUAAGCACCGGCUAACUUCGUGCCAGCCGCCGCAGUAA